UUAGCUAGUUGGAGUGGUAAUGGCACCCCAAGGCUACGAUAGAUAGGGGUCCUGAGAGGGAGAUCCCCCACACUGGUACUGAGACAGGGACCAGACUCCUACGGGAGGCAGCAGUGAGGAAUAUUGGUCAAUGGUCGGAAGACUGAACCAGCCAUGCCGCGUGCAGGAAGACGGCCUUAUGGGUUGUAAACUGCUUUUGCAAGGGAAGAAUAAGCUCUACGAGUAGAGUGAUGACGGUACUUUGCGAAUAAGCAUCGGCUAACUCCGUGCCAGCAGCCGCGGUAAUACGGAGGAUGCGAGCGUUAUCCGGAAUCAUUGGGUUUAAAGGGUCUGUAGGCGGGUUGUUAAGUCAGGGGUGAAAGUUUGCGGCUUAACCGUAAAAUUGCCUUUGAUACUGGCUAUCUUGAAUUAUUGUGAAGUUGUUAGAAUGUGUAGUGUAGCGGUGAAAUGCAUAGAUAUUACACAGAAUACCGAUUGCGAAGGCAGAUGACUAACAAUAGAUUGACGCUGAGAGACGAAAGCGUGGGGAGCGAACAGGAUUAGAUACCCUGGUAGUCCACGCUGUAAACGAUGGAUACUAGCUGUUUGGCAUUAUAGUUGAGUGGCUAAGCGAAAGUGAUAAG
RNAcentral lists this ribosomal RNA (623 nucleotides) under Capnocytophaga sp. 57. RNAcentral describes it as "bacterial SSU rRNA". It matches the Rfam family "Bacterial small subunit ribosomal RNA", at positions 241 to 864 of the family's 1533-position model. Lineage: Bacteria; Pseudomonadati; Bacteroidota; Flavobacteriia; Flavobacteriales; Flavobacteriaceae. The record is from RNAcentral.